GGCGAGAUAGCCGACGGUCCAAGGCCCUGGUUUUAGGCACCAGUCCCUUCGGAGGCAUGGGUUCGAAUCCCACUCUCGUCA
RNAcentral lists this transfer RNA (81 nucleotides) under Angiostrongylus costaricensis. It matches the Rfam family "tRNA". Rfam says of the family: Transfer RNA (tRNA) molecules are approximately 80 nucleotides in length. Their secondary structure includes four short double-helical elements and three loops (D, anti-codon, and T loops). Lineage: Eukaryota; Metazoa; Nematoda; Chromadorea; Rhabditida; Metastrongylidae. The record is from Rfam by way of RNAcentral.